RNAcentral lists this microRNA precursor (93 nucleotides) under Cebus imitator (Panamanian white-faced capuchin). RNAcentral describes it as "miRNA (ENSCCAG00000013318.1)". The record is from RNAcentral. Lineage: Eukaryota; Metazoa; Chordata; Mammalia; Primates; Cebidae.
GGAGGAUCACUUGAGCCUGGGAGGUAGAGGCUGCAGUCAGCAGAGAUCAUACCACUGCACUCCAGCCUGAGUGACAGAGAAAGACCCUGUCUC